UCGUGUCUUGUGAUCUCCCAUGUC
Molecule: non-coding RNA, 24 nt
Filed under: Arabidopsis thaliana (thale cress)
Lineage: Eukaryota; Viridiplantae; Streptophyta; Magnoliopsida; Brassicales; Brassicaceae
Source: RNAcentral